AUUAGUGCCAGAUAUUAGGCGGUGGUUUAGACCACUGCAUGAAUAUUGUCCCCAGAAGCCAAGACAAGGAAACAACCUAAAUGUCCAUCAACAGAUGAAAGGAUAAAGGAAAUGCGGGUGCACUGGAUAUACACAGAGCAGAAUAUUAUUUAACCUUAUAAAAGAAGGAAAUCCUGCCAUUUGCUACAACAUGGUUGAGCAGAUUACGCUUCCAGAAAUGAGCUAGACAUUGAAGGGCAAAUAUUACAUAAUUCCACUGAUAUGAGACUUGUAAGAAAAUAAAAACAGAGUGUAAAAUUCUUCUUGUCAGAAGCUGCAGAGAAAGAGAACUGGACAUUCCCUGGUCGACCAGUAUAAAAUUUCAGGUCAGGCCAAGAAUCUAAUGGAGGACUUUUAGCAGAGGAAUGAUGGAGAAUUGGGCUUGACAAAGAACACUUGGCUGCCGUGAAGGGUGAAUUGGAGCAGAUCACGGCCACCUCUCUGUGUCUUGUUGAGAGCCACAGCCAAAGGGGCCCCAGCAAACUUCCAGCUGCCAGCAAACUUCCAGCUGCUGGCUGAUGAUUGGCUCACAGCGGCCCCAGCAACAUCUAGCUGAUUGGCUCCUCGGCCCCAGCAACAUCUAGCUGAUUGGCUCCUCUGCGGUGAUGCUCAUUGGGCUGUUUCCCUGCCCUUUCAGACCACGGAGCUGCUCAUUGGGGGACCUUUUUGGCUCCGCCCACGUGACCCAGCCAAUCGGCCUCAAGAGCAGGAGGAUUGGGGGAGGUGGAGAGAAGCUUGGGUGGGAGAGAGAGGCUUGUGGAAAGCCGGUGGUGGCAGUUGAGGCUCUGAGGGUUUUUCCUGAGAGGCUGUUUUGUUUGGCGUGUGUGGUUCUAAAAAUAAAGUUAGUUUCUUUUGACAAGUGGCUCCUGAUUGUGCCCAGCCAGACUGCGGCAGUGUCUCUCCUCUACUGGUUCUGUUCUCUAAAGAACUCUAAUACAGCACGUCUAUAUUGGCCUUCUAACUUCUCCGGCCCUCUUCUAAGCUCGUGAAAAUCUAUUUUCCCAAACUGGGGAGCUAAAGAGUGAUGAGUGGGAGCCACUGCCAUUGCUGUCGUUGACAAAGCAUCGGUGACUGAGAAAUCCAAGGACGAAGAGAGAUGAAGAUGAACAGAGGAAUUUAUUUCUGCUUUGGGGUUUCUUUUUUCCCAGCACUGCUCUGGGAGCUCUUCCUGCUGAGAUCCACAGUCAGAGACUUCAGUCCCUGAGUCAGCCUGUAGAGAAGGCAAGAGGAUCCCCUUGAUCCCUGGACCCAAGGAGCCACAUCCUCCCCAGACAGAGCUGCAGACGA
Molecule: long non-coding RNA, 1326 nt
Organism: Marmota monax (woodchuck)
Lineage: Eukaryota; Metazoa; Chordata; Mammalia; Rodentia; Sciuridae
Exons: 3
Source: RefSeq, a predicted model, not a curated record